This 402-nucleotide ribosomal RNA is filed under the name uncultured bacterium. Its description in RNAcentral is "bacterial SSU rRNA". It matches the Rfam family "Bacterial small subunit ribosomal RNA", at positions 359 to 759 of the family's 1533-position model. The record is from RNAcentral.
CAGUCGGCGGGGCGCAGCCUGACCGCAAUGCCGCGUGCAGGAUGAAGGCCUUCGGGUUGUAAACUGCUUUUGUACGGAACGAAACGGCGAACUCUAAUACAGUUUGCUAAUGACGGUACCGUAAGAAUAAGCACCGGCUGACGAGGGUGCCAGCAGCCGCGGUAAUACGUAGGGUGCAAGCGUUAAUCGGAAUUACUGGGCGUAAAGCGUGCGCAGGCGGUUAUGUAAGACAGAUGUGAAAUCCCCGGGCUUAACCUGGGAACUGCAUUUGUGACUGCAUAGCUAGAGUACGGUAGAGGGGGAUGGAAUUCCGCGUGUAGCAGUGAAAUGCGGGGGAUAUGCGGAGGAACACCGAUGGCGAAGGCAAUCCCCUGGACCUGUACUGACGCUCAUGCACGAAAG